Molecule: long non-coding RNA, 237 nt
Filed under: Erythranthe guttata (spotted monkey flower)
Lineage: Eukaryota; Viridiplantae; Streptophyta; Magnoliopsida; Lamiales; Phrymaceae
Description: long non-coding RNA (EGUT_LNC003866)
Source: RNAcentral
CACAAUUAAAAAACAUAAAGAAGAAAAUCAUUCAACACCAAUCAAUAAUUAACAACCUUUUUUCCUUGAUUCUUUAAUAAUCACAAGAAUUAAAUGAGAUUAACUUCAAUUUCAUCUCGAGUCUAGAAUCCGUCUUCCUCCCACGAUUAAUUCAUCGAUCUUGUAAUAAUCGAAUAAAGAACAGAGGAGGAUGAUAGGCGAUAUAUGAGAUAUGAAACAUAAUAGAUGAGAGAGGGU